This 425-nucleotide ribosomal RNA is filed under the name uncultured Corynebacterium sp. Its description in RNAcentral is "bacterial SSU rRNA". It matches the Rfam family "Bacterial small subunit ribosomal RNA", at positions 65 to 504 of the family's 1533-position model. The record is from RNAcentral. Lineage: Bacteria; Bacillati; Actinomycetota; Actinomycetes; Mycobacteriales; Corynebacteriaceae.
AACGGAAAGGCCCUGCUUGCAGGGUACUCGAGUGGCGAACGGGUGAGUAACACGUGGGUGAUCUGCCCUGCACUUCGGGAUAAGCUUGGGAAACUGGGUCUAAUACCGGAUAGGAGCCAUCUUUAGUGUGGUGGUUGGAAAGUUUUUUCGGUGUAGGAUGAGCUCGCGGCCUAUCAGCUUGUUGGUGGGGUAAUGGCCUACCAAGGCGGCGACGGGUAGCCGGCCUGAGAGGGUGUACGGCCACAUUGGGACUGAGAUACGGCCCAGACUCCUACGGGAGGCAGCAGUGGGGAAUAUUGCACAAUGGGCGCAAGCCUGAUGCAGCGACGCCGCGUGGGGGAUGAAGGCCUUCGGGUUGUAAACUCCUUUCGCUAGGGACGAAGCUUUGUGUGACGGUACCUAGAUAAGAAGCACCGGCUAACUAC